CCUACGGGUGGCUGCAGUGAGGAAUAUUGGUCAAUGGACGAGAGUCUGAACCAGCCAAGUAGCGUGAAGGAUGACUGCCCUAUGGGUUGUAAACUUCUUUUAUAAAGGAAUAAAACGAGGCACGUGUGCCUUUUUGCAUGUACUUUAUGAAUAAGGAUCGGCUAACUCCGUGCCAGCAGCCGCGGUAAUACGGAGGAUCCGAGCGUUAUCCGGAUUUAUUGGGUUGAAAGGGAGCGUAGAUGGGUUGUUAAGUCAGUUGUGAAAGUUUGCGGCUCAACCGUAAAAUUGCAAUUGAUACUGGCAGUCUUGAGUACAGUUGAGGUAAGCGGAAUUCGUGGUGUAGCGGUGAAAUGCUUAGAUAUCACGAAGAACCCCGAUUGCGAAGGCAGCCGGCCAAGCCAUGACUGACGCUGAUGCACGAAAGCGUGGGGAUCAAACAGGAUUAAUACCCCUGUAGUC
This 459-nucleotide ribosomal RNA is filed under the name uncultured bacterium. RNAcentral describes it as "partial 16S ribosomal RNA". It matches the Rfam family "Bacterial small subunit ribosomal RNA", at positions 338 to 795 of the family's 1533-position model. The record is from RNAcentral.